AACCAUAGUUCAUUACAGGUGGGGGAGGGGAAAGACAGAAAGUGAGAGCAAAGAGAGAGAGGGAGGCAAGAGAGAGUCAGUGGCGGGGGAGUGGGGUCUGUCUUUUAAAGGGGUCCUUUACACCUGCAAGCGGACUUAGUUCCCACGGAACCCUGAGCUGACCAGGGUACUGCCUGAGUGGAUUCUGCCAGGUAACAGGGUAAAGCCUGAACCUUUCACUCAGAGGGGUCAGUCUUUUAAUCUGAGAAAAAUACUGGGUUGGAGGGGAAAACCUGCUGUCAGACUGCGUCCCCGGGUUGAAUUAAUAUAAAUUACAACUGGCGUUAAUUAUCUUUAUAUUGACCACGGUGCUAUAAGAGCCUGAGGUCAGAGAGUACUAAAGCAAAACAACCGUCUUUAGGACAUGAUAGGACUACUGCACUAAGAAACUCAAGCACCUGCGGUUGCCCUCACAUGAGCUGAACAAAGUCAAACCAACCAACCUUCUAUCAUAGCGGGAGAAAGGGUUCGUGUGUGCCCGCCAGUAACUGGAGAGUUGUUGAUGGCUUCUGGGGGAAGAAGAUACUGUUUCCUUGAAGGGUGUGGGCCCUGGUAGGUCAACCAGUCUCCAGUUGAUGGUCCCACACCUGUGUCUGCAUCGCUGAAUCAGUGUCUACCUGCCCCCUCCAGCAAGGGAGACCCGUGGAACCCUGUAACAUCUGAUGCCCAACGUGGACCAUUGACCAACAUAGGAGGCUCAUAUCGGAGGAUUUCGGGCCAGAACUGCAGACCUAGAGAGGUUUUGGACAGAGGCCACAGUUGUGUUAGUGCCAUGACUUUCCCCAGAAAACAAGUGGGAGCCUGAUCUCUGGAUACGGGUUUUAUUUCUGUUCAGGAAAAGAGAGGUAGCCUCAGGAGUGACUCCUCAAUUUUCCUUCACUCCUAUCUUGUUGUCGAUAAUAACCAUUUUAAAAUCCUCCUCAGCAGAGGAGGUGAUCAAGAUCCACAAUAAACAUUGCCAGGAACAAAGCCUUUCUAGAGAGGCAUGGAGAAGGGCACAUGAGCCAGUUAAAUAUGGCUCUGAGGAGAAGUCAAAAGGACGAGUCCUGAGAUGUUUACAAAAAAGGGUGAUUGGUUGCCAAGAUCAAACCAGACAGGGUCACUACAUAAACGGCCUGGGUUAGGUAGGUAAAGCAUAGGGCGCCCAGGCACAUGAUUGGCUGUCCUUUAAAACCAUUGGCUGUUUUCCCACUCUGUGGUUUUUUGCUUUAAAAGAUGCUUACUGUGGGGCAAUAAGAUUUCCUGCUUGACUAGACUCCCCACUGUGUCUGAUCAUCUGGGAGGCUGGGGAGGCUGGGGAACAGGCGGACGAGGGGCGCGCUUACCCUUCCUCGGACCCAGCUCAGCCUUCUGUGGUUGGGCUAAGACCCUGCACAUGGCUUACUGAGAUACAAAAGGCUAUGCCUGACCCACCACCCUGGAAGCUCGCCCAGGAUUGAUGCUCUUUGAGGGCUGGAAGUCAAGGAGGGGUAAGUGUGUAUUCAGCAGGCCGACUUAAGACAGGCACAGUCCGUUAUGUUGAUCCCUCCUGAGAUAGGGGCAACAAGGUUGGAGCAAGGCACCCUAGCUCCCACGGAGCAUGUCCUGUAAAAAUAAUAAAAGGGGUGGGUGUGUGAGAUGACUAAGCCCUAACAGCCAACCUACCUAGAUAGAUCCUCACUAAUAUUAAGAGUAUGUGUAGGAAAUACUUCCUGAACACCAACCUGGGUCUGCCUGAGGGCCUUGACAACAGCAGCCAAUCCAUGGCAAGAGAUGCUGUGGACCGAGGAAAAACAGUCAUGUCACAUCAGCAGAUGCCAACACAACAGAUCUUCUCCCCAGCCCGGUGGGGGGGGGGGAAUAUUACACCUG
RNAcentral lists this long non-coding RNA (1890 nucleotides) under Cricetulus griseus (Chinese hamster). Its description in RNAcentral is "lncRNA (ENSCGRG00015031686.1)". Lineage: Eukaryota; Metazoa; Chordata; Mammalia; Rodentia; Cricetidae. The record is from RNAcentral.